AUCCCCACAUCCAUCUGCAUGAACGGAACCCCCACCUCAAUACAGUCCAAAAUCCCCAGACCAAUACAGCCCAAAAUCCCCAGACCUAUAGCCAAAAUUCCCCACACCAAUACAGCCAGGCAAACCCUCCACACAAAAUAAUCCAGUGGGAAUCCCUAUACCAAUUGAUGAAACAUCUGACUCCUCUGAGCACCAGGACCAAGAAAUGCAAAGGCCAAAAAGAAAAAUGUGGACAGAUGGAGAUCUAAUCGUUGCUGAAGACGGUGCAACCAUUCAAGCACAAAAGAAAAUCAAAACAACAGAAGAGUGGCUGAACAUGGAUACGGAUAGGCCCACGGUGUCAAGACAUGCAGAGGUAGACACCGAAAUAUUAGAUCAACUAGAAAAACACAAAAGGUAAUUGAUUUAAUAUG
Oncorhynchus keta (chum salmon) is the source of this 413-nucleotide long non-coding RNA. RefSeq lists it as uncharacterized. Lineage: Eukaryota; Metazoa; Chordata; Actinopteri; Salmoniformes; Salmonidae. The transcript has 3 exons. The record is from RefSeq and is a predicted model, not a curated record.